GUCGAACAAACUUCCCAAUAUUGAUUAAU
Molecule: small RNA, 29 nt
Filed under: Bombyx mori (domestic silkworm)
Lineage: Eukaryota; Metazoa; Arthropoda; Insecta; Lepidoptera; Bombycidae
Description: ovarian small RNA-5494
Source: RNAcentral